This 253-nucleotide ribosomal RNA is filed under the name uncultured bacterium. RNAcentral's name for it is "partial 16S ribosomal RNA". It matches the Rfam family "Bacterial small subunit ribosomal RNA", at positions 524 to 776 of the family's 1533-position model. The record is from RNAcentral.
UACGUAGGGACCGAGCGUUGUCCGGAAUCAUUGGGCGUAAAGAGCGUGUAGGCGGCCUUUUAAGUCCUGCGUGAAAUCCUGCGGCUCAACCGCAGACGGUCGUGGGAAACUGGAAGGCUAGAGUGCGGGAGAGGAGAGUGGAAUUCCCGGUGUAGCGGUGAAAUGCGCAGAUAUCGGGAGGAACACCAGUGGCGAAGGCGGCGACCUGGACGGACACUGACGCUGAGACGCGAAAGCGUGGGGAGCAAACAGG